AGGAUUUGACAUCCUUUGACGAUGGUAGAGAUAUCAUUUCCCUUCGGGCAAAGAGACAGGUGGUGCAUGGUUGUCGUCAGCUCGUGUCGUGAGAUGUUGGGUUAAGUCCCGCAACGAGCGCAACCCUCGACCUUAGUUGCCAGCAUUCAGUUGGGCACUCUAAGGUGACUGCCGGCUAAAAGUCGGAGGAAGGUGGGGAUGACGUCAAAUCAUCAUGCCCCUUAUGACCUGGGCUACACACGUGCUACAAUGGGCGGUACAAAGGGUCGCGAACCCGCGAGGGGGAGCCAAUCCCAAAAAGCCGCUCUCAGUUCGGAUUGCAGGCUGCAACUCGCCUGCAUGAAGCCGGAAUCGCUAGUAAUCGCGGAUCAGCAUGCCGCGGUGAAUACGUUCCCGGGCCUU
This 402-nucleotide ribosomal RNA is filed under the name uncultured Anoxybacillus sp. RNAcentral's name for it is "bacterial SSU rRNA". It matches the Rfam family "Bacterial small subunit ribosomal RNA", at positions 976 to 1382 of the family's 1533-position model. The record is from RNAcentral. Lineage: Bacteria; Bacillati; Bacillota; Bacilli; Caryophanales; Anoxybacillaceae.